UAGCUGGGCACUGCUCAUAAGAACCAAGUCGCCUGGUAGCUGACAGGCACUUGGGGGAGAAAUUCUAAGAUUGAAGCCCUGUGACAAAGUAACUUCUUACUAGAAGUGCGAGUGGAUUUGCAGAGCGUAACAUAA
RNAcentral lists this non-coding RNA (135 nucleotides) under Bacillus sp. 491mf. The record is from RNAcentral. Lineage: Bacteria; Bacillati; Bacillota; Bacilli; Caryophanales; Bacillaceae.